CUUACAUAACAACAGUUGCUAUAGCCUGACACUUCCCAAUUUCCACAGCUUGGCACCGUUUCACCCUCAAGAUGACCACUUCCCAUUUGAUUAAUAUCUUCAGAGUUGUUUUCUUGUUCUGACCCUUAAGCAUUUUUCAGUGUGAUUUACUGUUGUGAGUAAAAACUUCAAUAUUACACCAAGUUUUUCCAACGUGCUCUUGGCUCAGUUGUGUUCCCAUAUCCCCUUGACCAGACUGCCCUAAUAACUGGAUUAUGGUAAUGCAAAGCCCGGGAUAGUCACUAAAAGUUCUCACUUCCUGGGGUUGGUUGAAGCAUUUGGUCUGAAAUUCAUCCCAUUAUCCUUAGAGAAAAAUCAGAUAAUAUAUUUGAGAAAAAACAAGGCAUUUUUAUUACGGGCUGUGUCAGGCUUUUGGCUGCAGUUUUGAUUAUUGUCCCUUAACAACUGCAAGAGAUGAAGAACAGAACCAAGAAUGGAAAAAGUCACACUCUGAAGAGUGCCCUAGAAGUGAAAACAAGCAAGCCAGUUACGUCAACAUAAUUCUGAAGAUUUUCAAGUGUAUACAGUAAAAGAAUGAAGGAGGGUAUAACAGGUUCAUAACAGGAAUGGAAGGUAAAUAUUUUUCCUGGUAGCUCUUCUGCCUUCUAACUCUCCUAGUUCCCUACCAGAGAAUCUUUCACUGGUCAAUCUUUCCACGCACUUGAAAAUUAUCCUGUGCUUUUCACUGGUCAGUCUUUCCACUCACUUGAAAAUUAUCCAGUACUCAUCAUGAAUACCCC
Molecule: long non-coding RNA, 779 nt
Filed under: Chinchilla lanigera (long-tailed chinchilla)
Lineage: Eukaryota; Metazoa; Chordata; Mammalia; Rodentia; Chinchillidae
Description: lncRNA (ENSCLAG00000028295.1)
Source: RNAcentral